This 492-nucleotide ribosomal RNA is filed under the name uncultured bacterium. RNAcentral describes it as "partial 16S ribosomal RNA". It matches the Rfam family "Bacterial small subunit ribosomal RNA", at positions 29 to 507 of the family's 1533-position model. The record is from RNAcentral.
AGUGAACGCUGGCGGUAGGCCUAACACAUGCAAGUCGAACGGCAGCACAGUAAGAGCUUGCUCUUACGGGUGGCGAGUGGCGGACGGGUGAGGAAUACAUCGGAAUCUACUUUUUCGUGGGUGAUAACGUAGGGAAACUUACGCUAAUACCGCAUACGACCUACGGGUGAAAGCAGGGGAUCUUCGGACCUUGCGCGAUUGAAUGAGCCGAUGUCGGAUUAGCUAGUUGGCGGGGUAAAGGCCCACCAAGGCGACGAUCCGUAGCUGGUCUGAGAGGAUGAUCAGCCACACUGGAACUGAGACACGGUCCAGACUCCUACGGGAGGCAGCAGUGGGGAAUAUUGGGCAAUGGGCGAAAGCCUGAUCCAGCCAUACCGCGUGAGUGAAGAAGGCCUUCGGGUUGUAAAGCCCUUUUGUUGGGAAAGAAAAGCAGCAGGUUAAUCCCCCGCUGUUCUGACGGUACCCAAAGAAUAAGCACCGGCUAACUUCGUG